RNAcentral lists this unclassified non-coding RNA (271 nucleotides) under Hevea brasiliensis (rubber tree). The record is from RNAcentral. Lineage: Eukaryota; Viridiplantae; Streptophyta; Magnoliopsida; Malpighiales; Euphorbiaceae.
GGUUGACGCAAAACGGAUUCGAGGUCCUUUGUCGACAUGGUUUCAAGCAUAUUUCUAUAUAGAUCUCUUUCUUUAUUUUGGCUUAGAAUUAUUAUUGAAUUUCUUUUCAGAAUCACACACCUUAUGUAGUUACUAUUUAAAACAUAGGAAACCCUAGUCGAAUAGAAUUCUUCUUAUUAUAUACCUUUUUCAUUACUAUUACAUCUGUAAAAAUACAUAGUAAAAGGAAGGUUCUCAAUCUGCCUGAUCCUGAAAGGAUGCAUAGUAAGAG